Acanthosepion pharaonis is the source of this 107-nucleotide non-coding RNA. Lineage: Eukaryota; Metazoa; Mollusca; Cephalopoda; Sepiida; Sepiidae. The record is from the annotation of a GenBank genome assembly.
UUACGGUCAAAUCACGCUGAAAACACCGGUUCUCGUUCGAUCACCGAAGUUAAGCAUCGUAGAGCCAGGUCAGUACUUAGAUGGGGACCGCUUGGGAACACCUGGUA